This is a long non-coding RNA of Zophobas morio, 1299 nucleotides long. RefSeq lists it as uncharacterized. The record is from RefSeq and is a predicted model, not a curated record. Lineage: Eukaryota; Metazoa; Arthropoda; Insecta; Coleoptera; Tenebrionidae. The transcript is spliced from 3 exons.
UCCUAUUUUUCAUGUUUUAUCAAUGUUCUGUGGCCGUGUUGUUUUCUAGAUGUAAGUACACUGUCUUACGAGUUGGGAAGUCACAGAGAACGACCCCGAAGCGAGAAGUCAGUUCGACUAGGACAAUUAUUGCAUGGACGAGCGAUCUUAUUAUAUACUAUUUACGUGUUUCAUCCAUAUUUAGAUUUUUCUCAAAAAAAAAAAAAUGAAAUUACCCCUUUUGCUGUGAAAAUCGGAACAAAAAGGGCGAAUCGAUAAAAGUUUAAUUUCAGCCGCUGAAAUAUUUUUGUGCAAGCAAUCGACUGUCAUAACUUCACAAGGUAGAAAAAAAUGAUGAAUGGUGCGUCAUGCGAAGCAAUAUUAGUAAAGUCCAUGGAGUAGGAGGUGUAGGAGAGUGCACUGUUAAUUCUCAAGGUUCCGUCUUAUUUCCAUGGCGCUGGGGGCCAUAGUGACCCAUGUUUUGUUUUAACAUCGUGUUUAAUAUUUGCUGAACCGUUUGUGAAAUUAAAAGUUCCAUAAUAAAAUGUAAAUAGCAAAGAAAUAUCUACUUGUCAACUCAAAAAUCGAUGAUUUAACGAAGUGUGGUUAUGGCAAGCAAACAAAACGGUAAAUGUUUUGUACCAAAUUGUCGCAGCGAAUAUUCCAGUGAAAACGUGAAAUAUACAAUAUUUAAUGUGCCGAAAAAUCCUAAGUUGUUCGCUUUAUGGGAAAAAUAUAUCGAGCUGAUCAAAUUUUAAGUACCCGCGAAGUGAUAUGUGAACGACAUUCAUUUUACUGAAGAAUGCAUAAUUAGAGAGUGGAAAUCGGGUUCUCUUUAGAUCCAGUGCAACGCUGAUUCAGGAUGAACUCUUUAUUGCCGAGACGUAGGACUUUCUCCACUGGAUCGAUCGUCAACCCAUGGCGGGUAAUCAAAUCCAUUCCCAGAAUGAAGUCAUCUUUGAUGCUAGCCACGAGAACCCGAUGUCUUAUUCUCAGCUGACCAAUACAGAUUUCGACUUCUGCCUGGCCCAUGAUUAGCGCCGACUCCCCAAUCUGUCUUCAACCUACUUAAUUGUUUCGGAUGAAGUCGCUAGGUCUUUAGUUCUCACGAGUCCUCGACGUAUAAUUUAUACGAGCCCUAACAACUAUAUAUUGGGAUAAAGACAGUUUCUCAAAAAAAUCCGGUACAUAUUUUUGAUAUCAUUCAAUUCAUUUGGACUAAAUGCAAAUUUUGCAUGGGCAUCUAUUUUGGUAGAGAAUGAGGUAUUUUGCAAAUUAAUAAAUUUUCUUAGAGCGGAAAAAUUGUCACCUAAAUAAAAA